Brassica napus (rape) is the source of this 2134-nucleotide long non-coding RNA. RefSeq lists it as uncharacterized. The record is from RefSeq and is a predicted model, not a curated record. Lineage: Eukaryota; Viridiplantae; Streptophyta; Magnoliopsida; Brassicales; Brassicaceae. The transcript has 3 exons.
AAGAUCUAUUUGAGAGAAUUGCCCUACAAUAUAAGAAAAAAUAAAUAAUAAAUAAAUAUACAAUAUGAGAAAAGAAAAACUAUAUCAAACAUUUAUCAGAAAGAUGUAUCGUUUUCUAAUUUUUUCUAAGGAAAUAUAUAUUCACAUAAACAUACAAUUGAGAAUUUGUUGUUGUUCAUAAUACAACGUUCAAAAAAAUAACUACAUGGUUAACAUUUGAAAAUAAAAAUAGCCCUGCGCGUAGCGCGGAUUAACUUCUAGUCUUUAUAUAUAUAAUACAGUUUACUCUUUCCUAAGGCAUGCCACAUGGGAUUCCAUGUCAUCAAUUAGGUGCAGAAGAGCGCGACACGUGUCACUUAAACUAAACGCUGAGUUUCAUUUAUUCUGGUGUCUAUUCCGUUUGGGCUUUAGUGUGUAUUCGGGCUAAAUGAAACCCAACCCGGAUAAAGAGUAACUCCAGUUGUUAUGGAAACGCGUUGUUUCUGAUUUAGGGUUCAACACGUUCUUCAUCGAGAGCUAAGCUCAACCUAAGGUUUCCAUGGCGUUGUUUCAUCUUCUUCCUAACAAUCCGAAGAGCUAUCAGUUACAGAUUCAUCCUCUUAAAUCCACCAUCCACGUUCUACAUGUUCUUUCAUCUUCUUCCUAACAAUCCCAAAAGCUAUACAGAUUCAUCCUCUUAAAUCCACCAUCCACGAUCUACCUUGAAUGUGAUCUUCACGCAAGGCCGUGGAACCUUGACUAUAAAAAGACCGGACGCAUACGACACAGUAGGAGGAGGAAAGCGGUAGCAAUGGAGGAGAGGAGGAUCAAGGAAAUGAAGGACCAGCCGUGUCCGGUUUGAAUCCGGUUGUUAUUGUAAUUUUCCCGUCCUUUAAAACUCAUGUUCAUCAUUAUUUUGAACACACAUGGUGAUUAGAUUCAUAUUUAUCAAAAUUAUUCUUUUUGUAUCAUAUAUUUCCUCUUUGCAAUAUGAUUUGAAUCUGUUGUUUAUUAUUAUUUUUCUCGUUCCAGUGUUCAUUGUCUUCCCAUUUACAAGCGACUGGGUUAUAUGUUUUACUUAAAACUCUCGGGUUCACUUAAAACUUCAUUAUAUUCAGCUCCAUGUGCCUGUCAAGUUCUUUCUUUUGUUUAAGGCGGAGACCGCCGAAGGUGCAGAGAUGUAUAAGGUCAUCAAAGAGACUACUAAUCACCGUAGGGUGAAGUUCACAGAUUUAUAAUGUGGUCUGGUGGGUGCUCUGUAGAGUUGUGUUGUAUCAGCUGAAGUUUAGCUGCUUGGUGGAGCUUCUUUGGGUGUGAUAAAGCUGUGAGAUCUAGAAGAAACAAAGAGUUAGUUGAUAAAUUUCAUGUGCUCCUUUUGAAGAGUUGUUUCUCCUUAUUGUCAAAUGUGGAUUAUGGGUAUUUCUUUCGUACAUAUCUAUCAUUUACUUUAAAUUAAUGAGGUCCACCAUUUUGAAUCUUGCUUUUGCAGUGCGUUGGUUAAAGAUUUUGUUGUAAGCUUGCAAACCACUAUUGCAACUAAACUAUAGAGGAUAUGAAAUAUGGCCAGGACGAGCAACAAAAUGUUAAGUUGGUGCAAUCCUUUCAAAGUUAACAUGGUAACAUGGAGAGAGUAGCUUUUGAAGGAACACAGAUCAUGAUAACGUAUGUUUCUCCAAAUGUGAUUUAAUAAGGAAAUGAAUCCCAUAAUCGAUUACCAAUUAUAUUAUUUUUUUUAAAACCCAAAUCAAGCUUUGACAAAAUAACAAUCGUCACCUACUAGCUUUGAUUUUCUCUAAGGCCUUAAGAUGGCAGUUUUUCUGCUUCUUCCAUAACCACUAAGAAGAAAAUAUGAAAGGUUCAUCAGCAUUGACUCUUUGAACAAGAAAAAGAGGAAAGUUAAUUAUAAAGGACAUUGGCGAGUCUUUAAAGAACCUUUCAAGGAGAUCCUGUUUAUCAACCUAUGUAUUGGCCAAUUCCAUGACGGUUAUCCACCUAGAAAUUUCUGAUCAUCACUGAAUCACUGUUUCUCAUAUGGCUUUUCGCCAUAGCUUAAGAAAAAAAAAUUAGCAAAUAAAUAAAAUUUUAGUGAAAAGUAAUCCAAACUAUAUAUAUAACAUGCAAAAAAAAAAAUUAAAAAAUUUAAAAAAAGUUAUAA